UGGCGGACGGGUGAGUAAUGUCUGGGAAACUGCCUGACGGAGGGGGACAACUACUGGAAACGGUAGCUAAUACCGCAUAACGUCGCAAGACCAAAGAGGGGGACCUUCGGGCCUCUUGCCAUCGGAUGUGCCCAGAUGGGAUUAGCUAGUAGGUGGGGUAAAGGCUCACCUAGGCGACGAUCCCUAGCUGGUCUGAGAGGAUGACCAGCCACACUGGAACUGAGACACGGUCCAG
Molecule: ribosomal RNA, 235 nt
Filed under: uncultured bacterium
Lineage: Bacteria
Description: partial 16S ribosomal RNA
Rfam family: Bacterial small subunit ribosomal RNA
Source: RNAcentral